UCUCCGUUGGUGAACCAGCGGAGGGAUCAUUACAGAGUUAUCCAACUCCCAAACCCAUGUGAACUUAUCUCUUUGUUGCCUCGGCGCAAGCUACCCGGGACCUCGUGCCCCGGGCGGCCCGCCGGCGGACAAACCAAACUCUGUUAUCUUAGUUGAUUAUCUGAGUGUCUUAUUUAAUAAGUCAAAACUUUCAACAACGGAUCUCUUGGUUCUGGCAUCGAUGAAGAACGCAGC
Molecule: unclassified non-coding RNA, 234 nt
Filed under: uncultured fungus
Lineage: Eukaryota; Fungi
Description: sequence contains ITS1, 5.8S rRNA gene
Rfam family: 5.8S ribosomal RNA (bases 186-234)
Source: RNAcentral